This 354-nucleotide ribosomal RNA is filed under the name uncultured bacterium. Its description in RNAcentral is "bacterial SSU rRNA". It matches the Rfam family "Bacterial small subunit ribosomal RNA", at positions 8 to 350 of the family's 1533-position model. The record is from RNAcentral.
AGAGUUUGAUCAUGGCUCAGGAUGAACGCUAGCUACAGGCUUAACACAUGCAAGUCGAGGGGAAACGACAUCGAAAGCUUGCUUUUGAUGGGCGUCGACCGGCGCACGGGCGAGUAACGCGUAUCCAACCUGCCCAUCACUUGGGGAUAACCUUGCGAAAGUAAGACUAAUACCCAAUGACGUCUCUAGAAGACAUCUGAAAGAGAUUAAAGAUUUAUCGGUGAUGGAUGGGGAUGCGUCUGAUUAGCGUUGUUGGCGGGGUAACGGCCACCAAGGCGACGAUCAGUAGGGGUUCUGACGAGGAAGGUCCCCCACAUUGGAACUGAGACACGGUCCAAACUCCUACGGGAGGCA